Molecule: ribosomal RNA, 292 nt
Filed under: uncultured bacterium
Lineage: Bacteria
Description: partial 16S ribosomal RNA
Source: RNAcentral
GGACUACAAGGGUUUCUAAUCCUGUUUGCUCCCCGCGCUUUCGCACAUCAGCGUCAGUACCGGGCCAGUGAGCCGCCUUCGCCACUGGUAUUCUUGCGAAUAUCUACGAAUUUCACCUCUACACUCGCAGUUCCACUCACCUCUCCCGGACUCAAGAUCGCCAGUAUCGAGGGCAGUUCUGGAGUUGAGCUCCAGGAUUUCACCCCCGACUUAACAACCCGCCUACGUGCGCUUUACGCCCAGUGAUUCCGAGCAACGCUAGCCCCCUUCGUAUUACCGCGGCGGCUGGGCA